RNAcentral lists this ribosomal RNA (329 nucleotides) under uncultured eukaryote. RNAcentral's name for it is "partial 18S ribosomal RNA". It matches the Rfam family "Eukaryotic small subunit ribosomal RNA", at positions 1470 to 1796 of the family's 1831-position model. The record is from RNAcentral.
CCCUUAGAUGUUCUGGGCCGCACGCGCGCUACACUGACAGAGUCAACGAGUAUUCUCCCUUGGCCGGAAGGUCUGGGUAAUCUUGUGAAACUCUGUCGUGCUGGGGAUAGUUCAUUGCAAUUAUUGAUCUUCAACGAGGAAUUCCUAGUAAGCGUGAGUCAUCAGCUCGCGUUGAUUACGUCCCUGCCCUUUGUACACACCGCCCGUCGCUACUACCGAUUGAAUGGUUUAGUGAGGUCUUUGGACUGGAGCUCGUGAGGUGGCAACACCACACUUGCACCGGGAACUUGAACAAACUUGAUCAUUUAGAGGAAGUAAAAGUCGUAACA